UAUUAUAUGCUGAUGUUAAAGAUUAAGCCAUGCAUGUGUAAGUAUAAAGUCCAAGAAGGAUGAAACUGCGAACGGCUCAUUAAAACAGUUAUAGUUUCUUUGGUUAGUAAAAAUUAAAAGGAUAACUUUGUGAAUGACAAAGAUAAUACUUGAGACGAUCCUUAAAUUUAAGAGUUUAAGGCUUAUUUUUUUUAUUUUAAAAAAAAAUAAAGGAAUGAUAUAUAUUAAGAAAAAAUAUAUCAAGACAAUUGUAGAAUACUUUAAAGUAUUUAACAAGUAACCAAUGAAAAUAUCUGACCUAUCAACUUGUUGGUAAGAUAGAGGCUUACGAAGGUUAUAACGGGUAACGAGGAAUUAGGGUUUGACAUCGGAGAGGGAGCUUUAAAGAUGGCUACCACUUCUAAGGAAGGCAGCAGGCGCGUAAAUUACCCACUUCUGACAUGGAGAGGUAGUGACGACAAAUAACUCUAUAUUUUAAUUUAAAUUAAAAUAUUGAAGGAAUGAGUAAGACAUAAAACAUCUUACAAAAGCAAUUGGAGGGCAAGUCUGGUGCCAGCAGCCGCGGUAAUUCCAGCUCCAAUAGUGUAUAUUAAAGUUGUUGUGAUUAAAACGCUCGUAGUUGAAAUUAAUAAUUAAAAAUCAGAAUUUAAAAAAUAAAUUUUGUUUUUUCAAAAUUUAUUUAUUUUUAAAUUCAAAUUUAAAAUGAUUUUUUAAAUGAAGGAAAAAAAAAUAAUUAAUUUUAUUUUUUUUAUUUACUUUGAAAAAAAUAGAGUGUUUAAAGCAAAACAUUUUAUGUUAAUGAAUAAUGAAGCAUGGGAUAAUAAUGAGGAGAUUUUAUUAAUUUAAAAUUUCGAGAAAAAGAUUAAAAGGAAUAAUCGGGGUGAUUUAGAAAGAAACGGGAGAGGUGAAAAUUCAUGAUCGUUUUAAGAUAAACUAGAGCGAAAGCAUUUUACUCAAUUAUAUUCAUUAAUCAAGAACGAAAGUUAGGGGAUCGAAGACGAUUAGAUACCGUCGUAGUCCUAACUAUAAACGAUGUCAACCAAGGAUUGGAUAAAUUUAAAUAAAAAAAUUAAUAUUUAAUUAUCUUCUGGAUAAUUUUAUUUAUUAAAAUUUUUAUAAACUACCUUAUUCAGAACUUGAAGAGAAAUCUUGAGUUUAUGGACUUCAGGGGGAGUAUGGUCACAAGGCUGAAACUUAAAGGAAUUGACGGAAGGGCACACCAGGAGUGGAGCCUGCGGCUUAAUUUGACUCAACACGGGAAAACUUACCAAGACCGAACAGUAUAAGGAAUGACAGAUUAAGAGUUCUUUCAUGAUUUAUUGGGGAGUGGUGCAUGGCCGUUCUUAGUUGGUGGAGUGAUUUGUCAGGUUAAUUCCGGUAACGAACGAGACUUAAACCUAUUAAUUAGUUUUUAAUCUAAAAGAUUAAAAUAAUAGAAAUAUUACAUGUAAUAAUUUUUACAUGACUUCUUAAAGGGACACAUUUCAAUCUUUUAAGAAUAUUUUAAUUAUAAAUUAAAUUUUUUUAUUUAAUUUAAAUAAAAUAUUUUUAAAAAAAGAAAAAGGAAGCAUUAAGCAAUAACAGGUCUGUGAUGCCCUUAGACAUCUUGGGCUGCACGCGCGCUACAAUGGGGAUACUAAAGAGUAAUUAAUAUUUUGAAUUUUUAUUAUUUUAAUUAGUUAUGCUAAUUAAAUUUUAAAAAUUUAUAUUAUACCAAAUUUGAAAAAAGGAGGAAAACUCAAAAGAUCAAACAUGACAGGGAUUAAUGAUUGGAAUUAUUUGUUAUGAACGAGGAAUUCCUUGUAAUAUUAAGUCAUUAACUUAAGAUGAAUACGUCCCUGCCCUUUGUACACACCGCCCGUCGCUCCUACCGAUUGAAUAAAGAGGUGAAAUUCUAGGAUAAAUUUAAAAAUUUAUUUUUAAAUUUAAAAUGGAUUUAAAUCUCCUUAUUUAGAGGAAGGAGAAGUCGUAACAAGGUUUCC
Molecule: ribosomal RNA, 1982 nt
Filed under: Entamoeba marina
Lineage: Eukaryota; Evosea; Mastigamoebida; Endamoebidae
Description: partial 18S ribosomal RNA
Rfam family: Eukaryotic small subunit ribosomal RNA
Source: RNAcentral